Homo sapiens (human) is the source of this 447-nucleotide long non-coding RNA. NCBI's taxonomy places the organism in Eukaryota, Metazoa, Chordata, Mammalia, Primates, Hominidae. The record is from Ensembl.
AACAGUCCUGCCAUUUUGCAGAUUGAAGGGAGAUUUAAGGCAACUGUGUCUUCCACCCGUGCGCUCAAGAGGUUGGGAUGUGAAUGGAGAGAGGGCUGCACCUGGUGGACCUAAUGUUCUGGGCAGGGGAGUGGAGGUGGUGUAGACAGAAAAUCAUAAAACUCUCAGGAGAAGCCAAGAUCAGCGAUCCUCCCGUCUUGGCCCCCCAAAGUGCUGGGAUGACAGGUGUCAGCCUGUCCUGGAGUCCUCCAAGCCCGUGGGGUCUGAUGAGCACAGACGGCUCAGCUCUUCCUUGCUUCCAUACCCUUACAUAAAACUGGAGCUCGGCUUUCUCAGAGAGGAUGCUUUUAUUUGCCUGAGAUGCACCAUCUGUUACUGGCUCCGUUUGACCGAUCUCCUUGUUCAUCGUGGUCCAGGUCUGCACCUGACAGCUCUGAGUGCUGACCU